AUACGAAGGUCCCAAGCGUUGUUCGGAUUUGCCGGGCGUAAAGCGUGCGUAGGCGGCAAGGUAAGUCAGAUGUGAAAUCCCGGGGCUCAACCCCGGAACUGCAUCCGAUACUGCCUUGCUAGAGUAAUGGAGGGGCAUCUGGAAUUCAUGGUGUAGCAGUGAAAUGCGUAGAUAUCAUGAGGAACACUAGUGGCGAAGGCGAGAUGCUGGACAUUUACUGGCGCUGAGGUACGAAGGCCAGGGUAGCGAAAAGGAUUAGAAACCCGAGUAGUCC
RNAcentral lists this ribosomal RNA (274 nucleotides) under uncultured bacterium. Its description in RNAcentral is "partial 16S ribosomal RNA". It matches the Rfam family "Bacterial small subunit ribosomal RNA", at positions 523 to 796 of the family's 1533-position model. The record is from RNAcentral.